This 253-nucleotide ribosomal RNA is filed under the name uncultured bacterium. RNAcentral describes it as "partial 16S ribosomal RNA". It matches the Rfam family "Bacterial small subunit ribosomal RNA", at positions 524 to 776 of the family's 1533-position model. The record is from RNAcentral.
UACGUAGGGGGCAAGCGUUGUCCGGAAUCAUUGGGCGUAAAGCGCGUGUAGGCGGCUUGGUACGUCCGCUCUGAAAGCCCGGGGCUCAACCCCGGGAGGCGGGUGGAUACUGUCAAGCUCGAGUCCGGAAGAGGCGAGUGGAAUUCCUGGUGUAGCGGUGAAAUGCGCAGAUAUCAGGAGGAACACCGGUGGCGAAGGCGGGUCUCUGGGCCGAUACUGACGCUGAGGAGCGAAAGCGUGGGGAGCGAACAGG